This 1010-nucleotide long non-coding RNA is filed under the name Bos taurus (domestic cattle). Its description in RNAcentral is "long non-coding RNA NONBTAT006151". Lineage: Eukaryota; Metazoa; Chordata; Mammalia; Artiodactyla; Bovidae. The record is from RNAcentral.
GAAUGACUAGCAGUAUUAUUUUAUAUCAGUGACCAACUGAGGCAUCAUUUAACAAAAACUAAAUGCUCUGAAGAUAUUCAGGAAAAAGCUAUUUGUCACUAAAUAAAGAAUGUUGGUAAGCAACCUAUUUGGAAACUUUUAUCUGCCUUGUUUGGCCUUCCUGACACACUUCAUUAUAUUUUGUCAAUUUUAUCAUUAAGUUUGGGUCACAAGUCUAAGGCAAAGGAGCUUCUAUGCUCAAAAUUUGCAUGAUUGCUUCUGUUUAUUUUCUUAUGAAAAAUAAUUUGAGUACCCUUUCUAUAAACUAACCCUUCUAAUUGAGCCAUGAAAUCUUAAAACAAUUUCAAAGGUCAAAGCACAAAAAUUAUCUAGGUUUUGAUCUUAGUAUAAAAUAACAUCAAUAAUUUUAAAACAAGAAUUAUACGCCCUGAGAAUGUACACUGAUUUAACCUAUUAAAUUUGCCAGUAUUGCAAGCCAUUAUUUACCGAAUUGCAUUAUUAGGUAUUCAUAUUCACAUGCUCAAUUAGGAAAAAGUUAGCAAGCCAAGAUUAAGUUCCCUGUAGCAUUAUUUUAAAUUACAGUAGGUGAUCACAUAAAACUCUCUAAUGUUUCUAUUACUUACUCUAUUUCAGAGUGUUAAUCUGAGUCAGUGAUCAUUGGUGUUGGAAAUAUUUGGCUUAAAUGUUUACUUUGUUUAUAAUAUUUUCUUGAGUAAGAUGAAUUUAAUUUGUGAAAAUCUCUACUGAACAAUUUUUAAAAGGAGUAAUUGACAACACUUAACAUUUUCAAGUAUUUUUUAAGCAGGAGAGUCUCUAUAUUGUAAAAAGAAAUCUUAAAUAUUUAAUACUCUUAAUUUUAAAAUGGUAUAUAGGUGGAUUUAUGAGGAAGCAAAUUAUCUUGAAAAGAUUUUAGGUAAGAAAUGCAAAUGCUUUGUAAGUCAAUUUAAUGUGUGUGUGUUUUUUUUUAAUAUGCAAUGAGCCAAUAAAUUAACUUUUAAAGCACAGGUGAA